This 276-nucleotide ribosomal RNA is filed under the name uncultured bacterium. RNAcentral's name for it is "partial 16S ribosomal RNA". It matches the Rfam family "Bacterial small subunit ribosomal RNA", at positions 82 to 354 of the family's 1533-position model. The record is from RNAcentral.
CCGUUGCCGGCGACCGGCGCACGGGUGAGUAACACGUAUGCAACCUGCCCGUGGCAGGGGGAUAAGCGGGGGAAACCCCGUCUAAUACCGCGUAACGCGGCCUAGGGACAUCCCAAGGCCGCCAAAGGGAGCAAUCCCGGCCACGGAUGGGCAUGCGGCGCAUUAGCUAGUCGGCGGGGUAACGGCCCACCGAGGCGACGAUGCGUAGGGGUUCUGAGAGGAAGGCCCCCCACACUGGUACUGAGACACGGACCGGACUCCUACGGGAGGCAGCAG